UCUGGGUAUAUUCACCACGUAUCUGAGACGCAAGUGUCAUAUUCACCCAUGAAAGCCUUAUGUCCAAUAUGUCUGUUAUCUAUAAGGAUGCCACAGGACUCUUUUCUUGCUUUUACAAAUCCAGACUAA
Non-coding RNA from Chelonoidis abingdonii (Abingdon island giant tortoise), 129 nucleotides. Lineage: Eukaryota; Metazoa; Chordata; Testudines; Testudinidae. The record is from RefSeq and is a predicted model, not a curated record.